GGUGAGGUAGCUCAGUUGGUUAGAGCGCCUGCCUGAUAAGCAGGAGGUCGCAGGUUCAAGUCCUGCUCUCGCCACCA
Molecule: transfer RNA, 77 nt
Filed under: Curtobacterium sp. MCSS17_016
Lineage: Bacteria; Bacillati; Actinomycetota; Actinomycetes; Micrococcales; Microbacteriaceae
Description: tRNA-Ile
Rfam family: tRNA
About the family: Transfer RNA (tRNA) molecules are approximately 80 nucleotides in length. Their secondary structure includes four short double-helical elements and three loops (D, anti-codon, and T loops). Further hydrogen bonds mediate the characteristic L-shaped molecular structure. tRNAs have two regions of fundamental functional importance: the anti-codon, which is responsible for specific mRNA codon recognition, and the 3' end, to which the tRNAs corresponding amino acid is attached (by aminoacyl-tRNA synthetases). tRNAs cope with the degeneracy of the genetic code in two manners: having more than one tRNA (with a specific anti-codon) for a particular amino acid; and 'wobble' base-pairing, i.e. permitting non-standard base-pairing at the 3rd anti-codon position.
Source: RNAcentral